GAAGUGUGCAACACCUUCCAGCACCACCACUUCCUCCAAAGUCGGCACAUCUUUCUUGAAACCACCGUUGUGAACGUACUCCUUCGUCCCCGGUGAAGUGUACAUCAAAUCAUCGCCAACUGUAAUGAACUUUACCGGCCUCCGGUGAAGCCAGUCUUCUGAAAUUUAGUAACGUAAUAAUGAAGAUCUUGUUGAGAGAGCCAAGACGGCAAGGUGGGUGAAGAAUGGGGAUUAAACCCAGUUCUAUGGCCCGCUUUUGGAAAAACUGGUGGACCUGAUAUGUCUUGAAAACCAGCACAAAGAAGAACAUAAGAGAACAGUGAUAAACUCAAACUGUACUCCAUGAUGAAUGUAAAACAGAUACAAUUGUGAGACCAGUUUUACGGGACGUAAAUAUGUUGUUCAACAGAUACGCAGGCCAUGGCAGCAUCAAUCAUAUUUGAUAUGCAGAGAAAGAAUAUACGAAGUAUUUGAUUUACCUGAAAUCUGCAUAUGUAGUAGUCAUCUCCAUACAAGGCACGAAAACCGUAUACGGUCUUCUGUUGAGGAUUUUUUCCGAGGAAGGGUCGGAAG
This is a long non-coding RNA of Vigna angularis (adzuki bean), 573 nucleotides long. RefSeq lists it as uncharacterized. Lineage: Eukaryota; Viridiplantae; Streptophyta; Magnoliopsida; Fabales; Fabaceae. The record is from RefSeq and is a predicted model, not a curated record. The transcript is spliced from 3 exons.